CUCCAAAAUAUUGAGUUCAGUUCAGGGCAGCUUCCCUGUUCUGGUCAUUGAACUUUGAGGGAAAAUUGAAAUUCUCAAUAU
Acomys russatus (golden spiny mouse) is the source of this 81-nucleotide small nucleolar RNA. Lineage: Eukaryota; Metazoa; Chordata; Mammalia; Rodentia; Muridae. The record is from RefSeq and is a predicted model, not a curated record.